ACUCCUACGGGAGGCAGCAGUGGGGAAUAUUGCACAAUGGGGGAAACCCUGAUGCAGCCAUGCCGCGNGUUGAAGGAAGGCCCUUCGGGUUGUAAAGCACUUUCAGUAGGGAGGAAGGUAGUGUAGUUAACACCUGCAUUAUUUGACGUUACCUACAGAAGAAGCACCGGCUAACUCCGUGCCAGCAGCCGCGGUAAUACGGAGGGUGCGAGCGUUAAUCGGAAUUACUGGGCGUAAAGCGCAUGCAGGCGGCCUGUUAAGUCAGAUGUGAAAGCCCGGGCUUAACCUCGGAAUGCAUUUGAAACUGGCAGGCUNGA
This 317-nucleotide ribosomal RNA is filed under the name uncultured bacterium. Its description in RNAcentral is "bacterial SSU rRNA". It matches the Rfam family "Bacterial small subunit ribosomal RNA", at positions 335 to 645 of the family's 1533-position model. The record is from RNAcentral.